UAAAACAGGUAAAAAUACCCUGAAAUCUCCUAUAUUACGUUCCAGAAACAUCUAAAAUCCACGCGCUUGGCGGCAGCUGUCAUCGCCACUCUCUCUCCCCCUUCCCUCCCAUCCCCUCUCUCCCUCACCCAUGGCUAGGGUUCCGAGCAAGCAUGAACGUGAUCAAGCUCUGGAUUUCCAGGGGUUUUUGAAUAACUUGCAGGAUUGGGAACUUUCGCUCAAGCACGGAGAUAAAAAGAUGAAGCCACCAGCUUCUGACAAGAAAACUGGUGAGGGUAGAAGAUCAGCAGGAAAUACUUCUGCAGUUGAUUCUUCUGGAAGCAAUUCAGGACAACAUGAUUAUUCAAGGGAAUUUGAUGCUAUUGAUCGCAUAUCAAAUAGUUUCAUGACUGAAGAAAGCUCUGUGGAUGCUACUUCAGAGAAAGAAUUGGGUAAUGAGUACUUUAAGCAGAAAAAGUUUAAGGAAGCUAUUGAAUGCUAUUCAAGAAGUAUAGCCUUGUCACCCACAGCAGUAGCCUAUGCAAAUAGGGCAAUGGCCUAUCUUAAAAUCAGAAAAUUUCAGGAAGCUGAGAAUGACUGUACGGAGGCUUUGAAUCUGGAUGAUCGCUACAUAAAGGCAUACUCACGCCGAGCCACAGCUAGAAAGGAAUUGGGAAGAUUUAAAGAGUCCAUUGAGGAUUCAGAGUUUGCCUUGAGGUUGGAACCUAAUAACCAGGAAAUCAAGAAACAGUAUACUGAGGUCAAAUCAUUGUAUGAGAAGGAGAUUCUCCACAAGGUAUCUGGGGCAGUAAGAAGCUCUGGGAAAGGAAUGCAGAAAGGAGAAAGAUUGGACACAAAAAUUAAUGGACAUGAUGUCAAUUCUGUUUCAAGUGGAACUCAAAGAACUGGCGUAUCUACGGGUCAAAAAGACAAGAAUAAGGGAAGUGUUGGAGAGGUUAUCCUUAAGAAGUCCACAUCAGUGGAGGAAAUAAAAAAUGCAAGCUCAAGAGCUGGCAGCAGAACUGAAAAUCAAGCCAAUGUUUCUUAUACUGAUGCUACUUCAAGUUCUCAUGAGGAGAGUGUCCAGUUAAGCUUUUGCAGAUAUAUCACAGAAAGGAAAAGCAAGAGCUUAAGGCUUCAAUACAAGAGCUUGCUUCUCGAGCAGCUUCUCGUGCUAUGGCUGAAGCUGCAAAAAACAUCACCCCUCCAAAUUCAGCUUAUCAAUUUGAAGUUGUUUGGCGAGGCUUUUCUGGUGAUCGUGCAUUGCAGACUCGCCUCUUGAAGGCUACAUCUCCAAGUGCCUUACCACAGAUAUUCAAAAAUGCAUUGACGGCUUCUAUGCUAAUUGACAUCAUUAAGUGCGUUGCCUCCUUUUUCGUUGAUGAUAUAAAUUUGGCUGUCAAGUAUCUGGAGAAUUUGGUCAAAGUCCCAAGAUUCAACAUGCUUAUCAUGUGUCUUUCAGCUGCCGAGAAGGCUGAUCUCGUAAAAACGUGGGAUGAAGUAUUUUGUGGCGAAGCAGCACCAAUUGAGCAUGCAGAGAUUCUUGAUGACCUACGAUCUAAAUACUGCCUCAAGUGAUGACAGGUGUACUGAUAGAGAGGAAAUUAAGGAAAAUUUUGAUCCCCGUGCUUCAUUUUUUCAAUGUCGUGUCUUCAUUCAUGUAACAAAUUUAAAUCCUUUACCUCAUCUGUUCGUUGAUAGGAGAAGCUAACAGUGUCGUUUUGGUUCAGGUUUCAUCACCUGUUUUGCUCAUUUCAUGCUUACAUCACCAUAUUCUGUGAAGGGUGAAGUUGUUAGCAUCAAAAUCCCGCAUGGUUGAUGAAAUCAAAUAUAUAAAGAAACUCCUUUUCAUCGUUAACUACGAUUUUUUGGCUGCAUGGAGUUUGGCAUAUUUAUUUUUUCAGAUCGUAUGUGUACAUUCUUUAUGUAAAGUGAACAUUGAGUUUUGGAUUGGUUUUAAA
This is an RNA transcript of Manihot esculenta (cassava), 1940 nucleotides long. It is a transcript of the gene named RNA polymerase II-associated protein 3, with no coding region annotated. NCBI's taxonomy places the organism in Eukaryota, Viridiplantae, Streptophyta, Magnoliopsida, Malpighiales, Euphorbiaceae. The transcript has 12 exons. The record is from RefSeq and is a predicted model, not a curated record.